AUGAAUUUACACAAAAGGGCUUUGAUGCCAGAGUAAAACAUUUAUUGUGUGGAGAAGACGCACACAGUGAAGGAAGUCAAGGAACAUUGGAGACAAAAGAAAAAAAUGAGAAGGCAUUUAUGGAUGCAGCACAAGUAUUUACCAAGGCAAAACAUUUUAUAAAACCCCAGCUGAAAAAAUGUUAGUUUCCCCUUCGUCGGAAAGAAAAGUCCCUGUUAAAGAUAAAAAUGAGUCCCAUGGAGUGGAAACCACGAACAUCCAAAAAACCAGGCAGAUAUCAAAAAGUCAUUCUUGAAGAAGCCCCCCCAAGGAUCCUAGUGGCAGGCACAGAAGAUUAUGAUGGACUGAUACGUAUUGCAGGAUGCAUUUUGGACAGAAAUGGAAAGAGAGGGAAGUGCAUUCACUCUUUGCCUUUCAGAUGGCACAAGGUGGACAAAGGAGCAGUUUUGCCAAGGAUAUGGAUCUGUCUCUGAGAUUCCAACUCCCUGGAAGAGA
This is a long non-coding RNA of Triplophysa dalaica, 495 nucleotides long. RefSeq lists it as uncharacterized. Lineage: Eukaryota; Metazoa; Chordata; Actinopteri; Cypriniformes; Nemacheilidae. The record is from RefSeq and is a predicted model, not a curated record. The transcript is spliced from 4 exons.